GAAAGAGAGAGGGAGAGCGAAUACGAAUUCGAGAAAAAAGUCAAAAGCCAGGCUCUAAGCCCAUGCUAUUUUUACAGAUCAGCAGGGAUGUGGAAAAUUUACACACUUCCAACGUAUCGAUAUUUCAGAAGUCGUGACUGCCAAGUGGAGAGUUAUCGGCCUAUUGUAUCGAAUAAACCGGUAGAGAUAUCGGGAUGGCAAUCUGUUAAGGAAAUGUAAUUAUGAAUAAUGUAUUUUGAGUGAAAUUACUAUUAUAAUUUGGCAAUAAAUCGAUCUGUCUGGUUUAUUUAAAAUGA
Drosophila sechellia is the source of this 296-nucleotide long non-coding RNA. RefSeq lists it as uncharacterized. The transcript has 2 exons. Lineage: Eukaryota; Metazoa; Arthropoda; Insecta; Diptera; Drosophilidae. The record is from RefSeq and is a predicted model, not a curated record.